RNAcentral lists this ribosomal RNA (254 nucleotides) under uncultured bacterium. RNAcentral's name for it is "partial 16S ribosomal RNA". It matches the Rfam family "Bacterial small subunit ribosomal RNA", at positions 524 to 776 of the family's 1533-position model. The record is from RNAcentral.
UACGGGGGGAGCAAGCGUUGUUCGGAUUUACUGGGCGUAAAGGGCGCGUAGGCGGCCACUGCAAGUCGGUUGUGAAAUCUCCGGGCUUAACCCGGAAAGGUCAAUCGAUACUGCAGGGCUAGAGUGCAGAAGGGGCAACUGGAAUUCUCGGUGUAGCGGUGAAAUGCGUAGAUAUCGAGAGGAACACCAGUGGCGAAGGCGAGUCCCUGGACAACACCUGACACUGAGGCACGAAAGCUAGGGGAGCAAACAGG